AUUGAACGCUGGCGGCAUGCCUAACACAUGCAAGUCGAACGGAAACACGAAGCCGCUUGCUGCUUCGCUGGCGAGUGGCGGACGGGUGAGUAACGGAUAGGAACAUGCCGACUGACGGGGGAUAACUGCUAGAAAGGGCAGCUAAUACCGCAUACCGCCUGAUGGUGAAAGUGGGGGAUCUUAGGACCUCGAGCUAUUCGAGCAGCCGAUGUCUGAUUAGCUGGUUGGUGGGGUAAAGGCCCACCAAGGCGACGAUCACUAGCGGGUCUGAGAGGAUGAACGGCCACACUGGAACGGAGACACGGCCCAGACUCCUCCGGGAGGCGGCAGUGGGGAAUUUUGGACAAUGGGCGCAAGCCUGACGCAGCCAUGCCGCGUGGAUGAGGAAGGCCUUCGGGUUGUAAAGUACGUUGGACGGGGAGGAAGAGUGUCAUGUUAAUACCUUGCCCCGGUGACGGUACCUGAAGAGAAAGCACCGGCUAACUACGUG
This 490-nucleotide ribosomal RNA is filed under the name uncultured bacterium. Its description in RNAcentral is "partial 16S ribosomal RNA". It matches the Rfam family "Bacterial small subunit ribosomal RNA", at positions 29 to 507 of the family's 1533-position model. The record is from RNAcentral.